ACUAGGUCAAGUAGUCAACCUCAUGCCCAAAAUUGUAUGGUCUUGCCAUCGACACGGAUAAUUUGUGCAUAACCAUGUUUUAUUUAUUUAAAUCAUGUCUCUAAUGGUCCUCCUACAUAGUGAAAAGUACAUAUAUUAAUAAAUUAACAUGAAAUAAUAAAAAAUAUGCGUGAAAUCAUGUAAUUAAGCAUAAUUUCACAUACUUUCCAAAUUCACGUCUAAAAUUACUAGUUAAGUAAAAUUCACUUAUUUCAAUAAUAAUUACUCGAGAUAAACAUAAUAAUUAAGUAAAAAGGUGGUAAAAACAUAUAGAAAAGACCUUAUACAAUUUCUAGUCUCAUUCAAUCAAGUGGCCUAACAUGUUGCUCCCAUUAUGUAGGAAGGACAAAUCCUAUAUUGAUCAACCAUAUCCUACUACAUAGAUUGUGGUAUAUCCAACAUUAGCCUUAAUAGAACAACCAAUUACGGUGGAUGUUUGACUGUAUGAAAAUAUACGACUCAUAAUGUUAGGAUAAUGAUGAUCUCAAGUUUGAGGAUCGUAUACAUAGUAAUCACAAUGAGUAAUAUUGUGAAUAUUACAUAAUAAUCCAAGAAACAUACUCAUAGUGGGUCAUUCCAAUAUGUUUUUCUCUAACACACAUACUCAUAUAUUGAUUUUGACAUCCCAUGUCAAUGACAACACUUUCUCAUCAAUAAACUACACGUUAGUCUUAAUGCAUUAUUUUUGUCAAAGCCCACAAUAAUAGUUGACUAAGGACCUUUUAAGAAUAAUCAUAUUAUUCUCAGUACAUUAUUAUAAAACAGUUUAUGUAUAUACAAUGAAAAGAAAUUGAAAUAAUGAUGGCAAUGCUUUUUAUUAAUAAACGAGGUAAAACAACUAUGUUAUUACAAUCAUCUCAUGAUUGGUCUGUAGGCAUACUCUAACACGCACUACCCUCCCAAGAAUACCUUUAAUUUCAUGAUUAACUCUUUCAACUUGCCUAUUUUACCGUGGGUGAUAGGUAGUUUCAAUUUUAUGUUUCACACCGUACUUGUUAAGCAACCACUUAAGCCAUUUAUUUACAAAGUGAGAUCCUUCAUCACUAAUUAUAGCUCUCGGAGUCCCAAACCGUGUAAACACAUGCUUAUGUAGCAAUCGCAUAACUACCUUAGCAUCAUUUAUUGGGUAUGCCUUGGCUUUAACCCACUUGGGUACAUAAUCCCCAGCUACUAAAAUAUACUUGUUCCCAUAAGAAAAAAGGGUACGGGUCUAGAAAAUUAAUGCCCCAUACAUCAAAUAAUUCAACCUCUAAAAUCUUUGUCAACUGCCUGCCCACCUUGGAAACAGCUUAGCCGGAGGUAGGGUCCAGUGGCCAAAACAGCACCGCACGAUGCAUGAUGUCCAGUGCGCCCCCGACGGCCCUUGAAAAUCUGUAGGGUCGAGUGUCGUCUGCGCCUUGUUGUACUCAUAACCACAUUAGGUCUACAAGGUGAACAACCUCUAGUCAAUGGAAUAAUGUAGGUAAGGGAAGUCGACAAAAUAUAUCUGUAACCUUGAGAAAAAGAUUGGCUCUGAGAGCUAGGCAUGGGGGUCCCAAUCCCAAACCUGUCGACUGCUGGUGUCCUACUCGAGCUGCUCCUGCGAUAGAGCGGGUUGUCGUGUGUCGCCCAGGGGACGAACUGAGAACGGCUCCCUCGGGGGCCUUCUUUGGGUGACUAACAUUCGACUUAGAAUUGAUACGGACAAGGGGAAUCUGACUAUUUAAUUAAAACAAAACAUUGCGAUGGUACCUAUGGAUGCUCACGCAAUGUGAUUUUUGCCUAGCGCUCUGAAUGUCAAAGUGAAAAAAUUCAACCAAGCGCAGGUAAACAACGAGAGUAACUAUGACUCUCUUAAGGUAGCUAAAUACCUUGUCAUCUAACUAGUGACGCAUCUGAAUGGGUUAAAAGGAUUUUCAUUGUCCCUGUCUACUAUCUAGUGAAAGCACAACCAAGGGAACGAGCUUGGCAGAAUCAGCGGGGAAAGAAAACCCUGUUUAGCUUGAAUCUAGUCUGACUUUGUGAAAUGACUUGAGAGCUGCAGGAUAAGUGAGAGAUCUCAGGAGAAAUUAAAAUACCACUACUUUUAACAUUAUUUUAAUUAUUUCGUGAAUUGGAGGUGGUGCACAACCCCUCUUUUUAGACCCAAGGUCGGCUUCGGCUGACCGACCCAAGCGAAAGACAUUUUCAGGUAAGGAGUUUGGUUGGGGCGACACAUUUGUUAAAAGAUAACACAUGUGUCCUAAAAUGAGCUCAACUAUAACAGAAAUCUCUUGUAGAACAAAAAGGUAAAAGCUCGUUUGAUUCUGAUUUCUAGUACGAAUACGAACCGUAAAAGUGUAGCCUAUCGAUCCUUUAUACCUUCAAAAUUUGAAGCUAGAAGCGUCAGAAAAGUUGCUAUAGGGAUAACUGGCUUGUGGCAGCCAAGCGUUCAUAAAGAUGUUGCUUUUUUAUCCUUCGAUGUCAACUCUUCCUAUCAUUGUGAACUAGAACUCACCAAGUGUUGGAUUGUUCACACACUAAUAGGAAACGUGAGCUGGGUUUAGACCGUCGUAAGAUAGGUUAGUUUUACCCUAUUGAUGGUCGCGUCGUAAUAGUAAUUCAACCUAGUACGAGAAGAACCAUUGAUUCGCACAAUUGGUCAUCGUGCUUGGUUGAAAACUAGUGGCACGAAGCUACCGUGCACUGGAUUUUGAUUGAAUGCCUCUAAGUAAGAACCUAGGCUAGAAGCAAUGCACGCACUCAUCGCCUGAUUGCUGACCCGUAGUAGGGGCCAUUGGCCCCCAAGGGCACGUGUCAUAGGUGCAUCGACUGUGGCCGACAAGUCGCGAGCGCCUCCUUAGAGUGUAAUUCCAACUGA
Molecule: ribosomal RNA, 2878 nt
Filed under: Gossypium barbadense (sea-island cotton)
Lineage: Eukaryota; Viridiplantae; Streptophyta; Magnoliopsida; Malvales; Malvaceae
Description: eukaryotic LSU rRNA
Rfam family: Eukaryotic large subunit ribosomal RNA (bases 748-2878)
Source: RNAcentral